CUCUGGCCCUGUAUCGUAAAGCAAAUAUAUAAAAGUAAAAGCUAGUGAAGCAAGGGUUUUGGAUGCAAGCAGUGUGGCCCUGCUCAGUUAUUUAGGUUUUUGAGAUAUGGUUGACCGAUUUCUGCAAGUUAUUUCAACUGUCUUACAACAGCGACUCCUGCAGAGAAUUCUCCUGACCCUCCUCAUACAUUCUUCUGCAAUGGUAGUCACAAUUCACAUUAAAAAUAUAAA
Molecule: long non-coding RNA, 231 nt
Organism: Spea bombifrons (plains spadefoot toad)
Lineage: Eukaryota; Metazoa; Chordata; Amphibia; Anura; Pelobatidae
Exons: 2
Source: RefSeq, a predicted model, not a curated record